This 254-nucleotide ribosomal RNA is filed under the name uncultured bacterium. Its description in RNAcentral is "partial 16S ribosomal RNA". It matches the Rfam family "Bacterial small subunit ribosomal RNA", at positions 524 to 776 of the family's 1533-position model. The record is from RNAcentral.
UACGUAGGGUGCGAGCGUUGUCCGGAAUUACUGGGCGUAAAGAGCUCGUAGGUGGUUUGUCGCGUUGUUCGUGAAAACUUACAGCUUAACUGUGGGCGUGCGGGCGAUACGGGCAGACUGGAGUACUGCAGGGGGAGACUGGAAUUCCUGGUGUAGCGGUGGAAUGCGCAGAUAUCAGGAGGAACACCGGUGGCGAAGGCGGGUCUCUGGGCAGUAACUGACGCUGAGGAGCGAAAGCGUGGGGAGCGAACAGG